UCCCACUGACUCAGAUGCUGAGGGGCCAGA
RNAcentral lists this non-coding RNA (30 nucleotides) under Homo sapiens (human). The record is from RNAcentral. Lineage: Eukaryota; Metazoa; Chordata; Mammalia; Primates; Hominidae.